Molecule: ribosomal RNA, 390 nt
Filed under: Eukaryota sp.
Lineage: Eukaryota
Description: SSU rRNA
Rfam family: Eukaryotic small subunit ribosomal RNA
Source: RNAcentral
CUUUGGUUCUGUUUUAUUGGUCGACAGAUCCGAGGUAAUGAUUAAUAGGGACAGUUGGGGGCAUUAGUACGUCCAUGUCAGAGGUGAAAUUCUUAGAUUGUGGACUGACUAACUACUGCGAAAGCAUUUGCCAAGGAUGUUCUCAUUAAUCAAGAACGAAAGUUGGGGGAUCGAAGACGAUUAGACACCGUCGUAGUCUCAACCAUAAACUAUGCCGACUAGGGAUUGGAGAUUGACAGUUAUGUCUUCUUCAGCACCUUACGAGAAAUCAAAGUUUUUGGGUUCUGGGGGGAGUAUGGUCGCAAGGCUGAAACUUAAAGGAAUUGACGGAAGGGCACCACCAGGGGUGGAGCUUGCGGCUUAAUUUGACUCAACACGGGGAAACUCACC